UAGGGAAUCUUCCGCAAUGGACGAAAGUCUGACGGAGCAACGCCGCGUGAGUGAAGAAGGAUUUCGGUUCGUAAAACUCUGUUGUUAGGGAAGAAAAAAUGUAUAGUAACUAUAUACAAAAGAGACGGUACCUAACCAGAAAGCCACGGCUAACUACGUGCCAGCAGCCGCGGUAAUACGUAGGUGGCAAGCGUUGUCCGGAAUUAUUGGGCGUAAAGCGCGCGCAGGUGGUUCAGAAAGUCUGAUGUGAAAGCCCACGGCUCAACCGUGGAGGGUCAUUGGAAACUAAUAAACUUGAGUGCAGGAGAGAAAAGUGGAAUUCCUAGUGUAGCGGUGAAAUGCGUAGAGAUUAGGAGGAACACCGGUGGCGAAAGCGGCUUUUUGGCCUGCAACUGACACUGAGGCGCGAAAGCGUGGGGAGCAAACAGG
This 429-nucleotide ribosomal RNA is filed under the name Verrucomicrobiota bacterium. Its description in RNAcentral is "Verrucomicrobia bacterium partial 16S ribosomal RNA". It matches the Rfam family "Bacterial small subunit ribosomal RNA", at positions 355 to 776 of the family's 1533-position model. Lineage: Bacteria; Pseudomonadati; Verrucomicrobiota. The record is from RNAcentral.